AAUUCAAAGACACACACUAAAGACAGUGUAAUAGUUGUUUUUUUUUUUUUUUUUGUCCUUUCUAUCAGCAUAAAUUGAUCAUGCAAAGCACCGUUCUGACCACAGACUGGUACCUCCAGGCCGCCGCGAGACAGAGCCCUCAUCUCCCGGGUGGACGCAGAUGCCUAAGCGUGGUUCAGCAUUCAGACGUUCAUUAUCCAGCCUGUCUCCCUUCGACACACGGCUUUUAGAUCGUCCCGAUCGUCCCUGCUUAUUACUGUUCGCCAGAAGCAGGGCCAUUAAAGGAGGAAGAGCCAGCAUGAAUGUUUAACCCAGCACGGGAGUGCCUCUCCUUUGGACCUUACAUCUCAUUAAACGCAACCUUCAUUCUGCUCAAGAGAUGGAUUCCGAAAGGAACAGAUUUAAAAUUCACUGCCUCGUCAUGAAGAAACAUGGUAAAGAGAGAUGUUGAGGUAAAGUUAUAUUACAAAAUAUUCGCUUAAAAAACUCAUCAUUUUGCUCCCAUGGGAACUUCUUUAUUAAAUUUACUUUAAAAUAAUGGCAUUCAUAAAAAAAAAAAAAUCUACCCGAGGGCCUUAAUAAAAUGGAAGCGCCAACACA
RNAcentral lists this long non-coding RNA (600 nucleotides) under Ursus maritimus (polar bear). RNAcentral's name for it is "lncRNA (ENSUMAG00000011433.1)". The record is from RNAcentral. Lineage: Eukaryota; Metazoa; Chordata; Mammalia; Carnivora; Ursidae.